AGAGUUUGAUCAUGGCUCAGAAUCAACGCUGGCGGCGUGCCUAACACAUGCAAGUCGAACGAGAAAGUGGAGCAAUCCAUGAGUAAAGUGGCGCACGGGUGAGUAACACGUGACUAACCUACCCUCGAGUGGGGAAUAACCUAGGGAAACCUGGGCUAAUACCGCAUAAUACCUACGGGUUAAAGGAGCAAUUCGCUUGAGCGAGGGGGUCGCGGCCGAUUAGUUAGUUGGCGGGGUAAUGGCCCACCAAGACGAUGAUCGGUAUCCGGCCUGAGAGGGCGGACGGACACACUGGAACUGAAACACGGUCCAGACUCCUACGGGAGGCAGCAGUGGGGAAUUUUGCGCAAUGGGGGAAACCCUGACGCAGCAACGCCGCGUGGAGGAUGAAGUCCCUUGGGACGUAAACUCCUUUCGAUCGGGACGAUUAUGACGGUACCGGAAGAAGAAGCCCCGGCUAACUUCGUGCCAGCAGCCGCGGUAAUAC
RNAcentral lists this ribosomal RNA (487 nucleotides) under uncultured bacterium. RNAcentral describes it as "bacterial SSU rRNA". It matches the Rfam family "Bacterial small subunit ribosomal RNA", at positions 8 to 526 of the family's 1533-position model. The record is from RNAcentral.